AGAGUUUGAUCCUGGCUCAGGAUGAACGCUGGCGGCGUGCUUAACACAUGCAAGUCGAACGGGAAUUACUUUAUUGAAACUUCGGUCGAUAUGAUUUAAUUCUAGUGGCGGACGGGUGAGUAACGCGUGGGUAACCUGCCUUAUACAGGGGGAUAACAGUCAGAAAUGACUGCUAAUACCGCAUAAGCGCACAGAGCUGCAUGGCUCGGUGUGAAAAACUCCGGUGGUAUAAGAUGGACCCGCGUUGGAUUAGCUGGUUGGUGAGGUAACGGCCCACCAAGGCGACGAUCCAUAGCCGGCCUGAGAGGGUGAACGGCCACAUUGGGACUGAGACACGGCCCAGACUCCUACGGGAGGCAGCAGUGGGGAAUAUUGCACAAUGGGGGAAACCCUGAUGCAGCGACGCCGCGUGAAGGAAGAAGUAUCUCGGUAUGUAAACUUCUAUCAGCAGGGAAGAAAAUGACGGUACCUGACAUAAGAAGCCCCGGCUAACUACGUGCCAGCAGCCGCGGU
RNAcentral lists this ribosomal RNA (513 nucleotides) under uncultured bacterium. RNAcentral describes it as "bacterial SSU rRNA". It matches the Rfam family "Bacterial small subunit ribosomal RNA", at positions 8 to 521 of the family's 1533-position model. The record is from RNAcentral.